Non-coding RNA from Triticum aestivum (bread wheat), 135 nucleotides. NCBI's taxonomy places the organism in Eukaryota, Viridiplantae, Streptophyta, Magnoliopsida, Poales, Poaceae. The record is from Rfam.
UUUUUACUCCCUCCGUCCGGAAAUACUUGUCAUCAAAAUGGAUAAAAGGGGAUGUAUCUAGACGUAUUUUAGUUCUAGAUACAUCAAUUUUUAUUCAUUUUGAUGACAAGUAUUUUCGGACGGAGGGAGUAUCUG